UACGUAGGGCGCAAGCGUUGUCCGGAAUUAUUGGGCGUAAAGAGCUCGUAGGCGGUUUGUCGCGUCUGCUGUGAAAACCCGAGGCUCAACCUCGGGCCUGCAGUGGGUACGGGCAGACUAGAGUGCGGUAGGGGGAGAUUGGAAUUCCUGGUGUAGCGGUGGAAUGCGCAGAUAUCAGGAGGAACACCAAUGGCGAAGGCAGAUCUCUGGGCCGUAACUGACGCUGAGGAGCGAAAGCAUGGGGAGCGAACAGG
RNAcentral lists this ribosomal RNA (254 nucleotides) under uncultured bacterium. RNAcentral's name for it is "partial 16S ribosomal RNA". It matches the Rfam family "Bacterial small subunit ribosomal RNA", at positions 524 to 776 of the family's 1533-position model. The record is from RNAcentral.